Molecule: ribosomal RNA, 354 nt
Filed under: uncultured bacterium
Lineage: Bacteria
Description: bacterial SSU rRNA
Rfam family: Bacterial small subunit ribosomal RNA
Source: RNAcentral
AGAGUUUGAUCAUGGCUCAGGAUGAACGCUGGCGGCGUGCCUAACACAUGCAAGUCGAACGGACUUACAUUGAAGCCUAGCGAUAUGUAAGUUAGUGGCGGACGGGUGAGUAACGCGUGGGUAACCUGCCUUGUACUGGGGGACAACAGUUGGAAACGACUGCUAAUACCGCAUAAGCCCACGGCUCGGCAUCGAGCAGAGGGAAAAGGAGCAAUCCGCUUUGAGAUGGCCUCGCGUCCGAUUAGCUAGUUGGUGAGGUAACGGCCCACCAAGGCGACGAUCGGUAGCCGGACUGAGAGGUUGAACGGCCACAUUGGGACUGAGACACGGCCCAGACUCCUACGGGAGGCAGCA